Molecule: small RNA, 2225 nt
Filed under: Pan troglodytes (chimpanzee)
Lineage: Eukaryota; Metazoa; Chordata; Mammalia; Primates; Hominidae
Description: processed transcript
Source: RNAcentral
CCAUUCUCAGGGCGGGAGCCGGAGUCCGGGCGCCCGGGAUCGGGCUGGGCCCGCGCCCAUGGCAAGCGCGGCCUGUCCGGGCCCUGGGGACCCUGCCAUGUGAGGCAGGCCCGGGCUGGGGGCCCGGCCAUGGCCGGGGAACGGCCCCCACUGCGGGGCCCUGGGCCCGGGCCUGGAGAGGUGCCGGGGGAGGGGCCCCCGGGGCCGGGGGGCACGGGCGGAGGCCCGGGCCGGGGCCGCCCCUCCUCCUACCGGGCUCUCCGCAGCGCCGUGUCUAGCCUGGCGCGUGUGGACGAUUUUCACUGCGCGGAGAAGAUCGGGGCCGGCUUCUUCUCUGAGGUCUACAAGGUUCGGCACCGACAGUCAGGGCAAGUCAUGGUGCUGAAGAUGAACAAGCUCCCCAGUAACCGGGGCAACACACUACGGGAAGUGCAGCUGAUGAACCGGCUCAGGCACCCCAACAUCCUAAGGUUCAUGGGGGUCUGUGUGCACCAGGGACAGCUGCACGCUCUUACAGAGUAUAUGAAUGGGGGGACAUUGGAACAGCUGCUCAGCUCCCCUGAACCCCUAUCCUGGCCGGUCAGGCUCCACCUGGCCCUGGACAUUGCCCGAGGCCUGCGGUACCUGCACUCCAAAGGUGUAUUUCACCGCGACCUCACAUCCAAGGGAGGGGGCAAGGAAGGAGCCAUUGGCUGUGGUGGGCUCCCCAUACUGGAUGGCUCCAGAGGUGUUACGGGGUGAGCUGUAUGAUGAGAAGGCUGAUGUCUUUGCCUUCGGGAUUGUCCUCUGUGAGCUCAUCGCCCGAGUACCUGCAGACCCUGACUACCUACCACGCACUGAGGACUUUGGCCUGGAUGUGCCUGCUUUCCGAACUCUGGUGGGGGAUGACUGCCCACUGCCUUUCUUGCUCCUGGCCAUCCACUGCUGCAGCCUGGAACCCAGCACCCGUGCCCCCUUCACUGAAAUUACCCAGCACCUGGAAUGGAUCCUGGAGCAGCUGCCUGAGCCAGCCCCACUCACCAGGACCGCCCUGACACACAAUCAGGGCUCUGUUGCAAGAGGGGGUCCCUCUGCCACGCUUCCCAGGCCAGAUCCCCGGCUUUCCCGAAGCCGGUCAGACCUCUUCCUGCCCCCAUCACCAGAAUCACCCCCCAACUGGGGGGACAAUCUGACUCGAGUCAACCCCUUCUCACUACGGGAAGACCUCAGGGGUGGCAAGAUCAAGCUCUUGGACACGCCCAGCAAGCCAGUCCUGCCUCUUGUGCCACCAUCACCAUUCCCAUCCACUCAGCUGCCCUUGGUGACCACCCCGGAGACCCUGGUCCAGCCUGGGACACCUGCCCGCCGCUGCCGCUCACUACCCUCAUCCCCCGAGCUCCCCCGCCGUAUGGAGACAGCACUGCCAGGUCCUGGCCCUCCCGCCGUGGGCCCCUCGGCUGAAGAGAAGAUGGAGUGCGAGGGCAGCAGCCCUGAGCCGGAACCUCCAGGACCAGCGCCCCAGCUGCCUCUGGCUGUGGCCACAGACAACUUCAUCAGCACCUGUUCCUCGGCCUCCCAACCCUGGUCCCCUAGAUCAGGACCCGUCCUCAAUAACAAUCCCCCAGCUGUGGUGGUGAACUCCCCACAAGGCUGGGCUGGGGAGCCCUGGAACCGGGCCCAGCAUAGCCUGCCCCGGGCGGCAGCCCUGGAGCGGACAGAACCCUCGCCACCCCCUUCAGCUCCCCGGGAGCCCGAUGAGGGGCUGCCCUGUCCUGGCUGCUGCCUCGGCCCCUUCAGCUUUGGCUUCCUGUCCAUGUGCCCCCGCCCCACACCAGCUGUUGCCCGCUACCGCAACCUGAACUGUGAGGCGGGCAGUCUCCUCUGCCACCGAGGGCACCACGCCAAGCCACCCACACCCAGCCUGCAGCUGCCUGGGGCACGCUCUUAGCAGUGGAGCCUGUGGUCUCAGGCCUCCAACUUUGGCCUUCAGGACACCCUGUAAGAACAGAGCACACUUGCUGGACAGUGCCAGUCCCAGAUGGGCUGACCGGCUCUUCUCCCCGUGUAGGGGAGCCCCAGCAUGGACUCAAGGGACAGAGCACUUCCAGUCGACCCCCGGCUCGCGUUCUCGUGGGGAUCACUGAACCAGACACAGCAUUGCUGACACAUGAGACUAACACGUGCAAUUAUUUAAAAAGAUUUCAAUAAAACUGCCUGGCUGGCUCCGGGCCGCCCCUAUCCGCUCA